UACGGGGGGGGCAAGCGUUGUUCGGAAUUACUGGGCGUAAAGGGCUCGUAGGUGGCCAACUAAGUCAGACGUGAAAUCCCUCGGCUUAACCGGGGAACUGCGUCUGAUACUGGAUGGCUUGAGUUUGGGAGAGGGACGCGGAAUUCCAGGUGUAGCGGUGAAAUGCGUAGAUAUCUGGAGGAACACCGGUGGCGAAGGCGGCGUUCUGGACUGCAACUGACACUGAGAAACGAAAGCUAGGGGAGCAAACAGG
This 253-nucleotide ribosomal RNA is filed under the name uncultured bacterium. Its description in RNAcentral is "partial 16S ribosomal RNA". It matches the Rfam family "Bacterial small subunit ribosomal RNA", at positions 524 to 776 of the family's 1533-position model. The record is from RNAcentral.